AAGAUGGCGACCGGCGCACGGGUGAGUAACACGUAUCCAACCUACCGAUAACUCCGGAAUAGCCUUUCGAAAGAAAGAUUAAUACCGGAUGGCAUACGAAUAUCGCAUGAUAUUUUUAUUAAAGAAUUUCGGUUAUCGAUGGGGAUGCGUUCCAUUAGUUUGUUGGCGGGGUAACGGCCCACCAAGACUACGAUGGAUAGGGGUUCUGAGAGGAAGGUCCCCCACAUUGGAACUGAGACACGGACCAGACUCCUACGGGAGGCAGCAUG
RNAcentral lists this ribosomal RNA (269 nucleotides) under uncultured bacterium. RNAcentral describes it as "partial 16S ribosomal RNA". It matches the Rfam family "Bacterial small subunit ribosomal RNA", at positions 85 to 353 of the family's 1533-position model. The record is from RNAcentral.